UCAAACUUGGUCAUUUAGAGGAAGUAAAAGUCGUAACAAGGUUUCCGUAGGUGAACCUGCGGAAGGAUCAUUACCACAUCCAAAAUCUUCUUUGAACCCACACAUGUGAAGUUAUGGUUUUUGCAGAGGUUUGCUUUUCCCCCCUCUUUUCCACUCUCUUUCUCGCAAGGAGAAGAAAGAAAAGGAGAGGAAAGCUCCUCGCAAAACUUUUUUUUCUCAACCCCCUUUGAACUCUUUCCGAGUGAAAAAGCAAGGUUAACACGAAAAUGAAAAAAAAAAUAGAGAACAACUUUUAACGGUGGAUCUCUUGGCUCGUGCAUCGAUGAAGAACGCAGC
This 336-nucleotide unclassified non-coding RNA is filed under the name uncultured fungus. Its description in RNAcentral is "partial contains small subunit ribosomal RNA, internal transcribed spacer 1, and 5.8S ribosomal RNA". The stretch from base 1 to 73 matches the Rfam family "Eukaryotic small subunit ribosomal RNA", at positions 1759 to 1831 of the family's 1831-position model. The record is from RNAcentral. Lineage: Eukaryota; Fungi.